RNAcentral lists this ribosomal RNA (426 nucleotides) under uncultured bacterium. Its description in RNAcentral is "bacterial SSU rRNA". It matches the Rfam family "Bacterial small subunit ribosomal RNA", at positions 355 to 774 of the family's 1533-position model. The record is from RNAcentral.
UAGGGAAUAUUGGACAAUGGGGGCAACCCUGAUCCAGCCAUGCCGCGUGAGUGAAGAAGGCCCUCGGGUUGUAAAGCUCUUUUGUCCGGAAAGAAAAGCUUCGGGUUAAUACCCCGGGGUUCUGACGGUACCGGAAGAAUAAGCACCGGCUAACUUCGUGCAGCAGCCGCGGUAAUACGAAGGGUGCAAGCGUUACUCGGAAUUACUGGGCGUAAAGCGUGCGUAGGUGGUUGUUUAAGUCUGAUGUGAAAGCCCUGGGCUCAACCUGGGAAUGGCAUUGGAAACUGGGCAGCUAGAGUGCGGUAGAGGGUAGUGGAAUUCCCGGUGUAGCAGUGAAAUGCGUAGAGAUCGGGAGGAACAUCUGUGGCGAAGGCGACUGCCUGGACCAGCACUGACACUGAGGCACGAAAGCGUGGGGAGCAAACA